RNAcentral lists this unclassified non-coding RNA (355 nucleotides) under soil metagenome. RNAcentral's name for it is "partial contains 5.8S ribosomal RNA, internal transcribed spacer 2, and large subunit ribosomal RNA". The stretch from base 1 to 120 matches the Rfam family "5.8S ribosomal RNA", at positions 35 to 154 of the family's 154-position model. The record is from RNAcentral.
GAUGAAGAACGUAGCGAAAUGCGAUAAGUAAUGUGAAUUGCAGAAUUCAGUGAAUCAUCGAAUCUUUGAACGCACAUUGCGCCCAUUAGUAUUCUAGUGGGCAUGCCUGUUCGAGCGUCAUUAAGUCCACUUAAGCCCUGCUUAGUGUUGGGAGACUGCUCCAGCGGUGCUACCCUGUAGCUACCCUGCAGCUCCUCAAAGACAGCGGCGGAGUUGUGGUAUCCUCUGAGCUUAGUAACUUGUUCUAGCUUUCGAGUACACCACUUCCCCUGCCGUAAAACCCUUAAUUUUUAAUGGUUGACCUCGGAUCAAGUAGGAAUACCCGCUGAACUUAAGCAUAUCAAUAAGCGGAGGA